Molecule: ribosomal RNA, 352 nt
Filed under: Paracoccaceae bacterium
Lineage: Bacteria; Pseudomonadati; Pseudomonadota; Alphaproteobacteria; Rhodobacterales; Paracoccaceae
Description: bacterial SSU rRNA
Rfam family: Bacterial small subunit ribosomal RNA
Source: RNAcentral
AAACUUGAGAGUUUGAUCCUGGCUCAGAACGAACGCUGGCGGCAUGCCUAACACAUGCAAGUCGAACGCCCUCUUCGGAGGGAGUGGCGCACGGGUGCGUAACGCGUGGGAACCUGCCCUUAGGUUCGGAAUAACUCAGAGAAAUUUGAGCUAAUACCGGAUAAUGUCUUCGGACCAAAGAUUUAUCGCCUUUGGAUGGGCCCGCGUAGGAUUAGGUAGUUGGUGGGGUAAAGGCCUACCAAGCCGACGAUCCUUAGCUGGUCUGAGAGGAUGAUCAGCCACACUGGGACUGAGACACGGCCCAGACUCCUACGGGAGGCAGCAGUGGGGAAUAUUGGACAAUGGGCGAAAG